Molecule: long non-coding RNA, 1186 nt
Organism: Dreissena polymorpha
Lineage: Eukaryota; Metazoa; Mollusca; Bivalvia; Myida; Dreissenidae
Exons: 3
Source: RefSeq, a predicted model, not a curated record
UAUAUCAUUGAUUUAGUAUACGUUCUUCAAUUUGCUUUUUGAGAAAGUUCAUAAUAAGUUAUUCCGCGUCAUUUUGUUUGUUUGCAAGGAUUCGUACUCAUUAUGCUUCAUCCGUGUAUUAAAUAAGUGUUUUGUACCUUUUGCAUCACUGUACCAUGCAUAAUUUAUGUUUGUAUUUGCAUUUGAUCUAUUUUCUGCACCCUGGUAUAGGUUUCUGAUUUAAAAGUGUUACAUGUGUUACGUACACUAUAGGUAAACGUGUUUGGGAUCCCAAUUGUUACUAAUUUUAAACCUUAUGGAUAUGAGUCAUUCUUGUUUUGGCAAACGCUAACAAACAAUAAAGAUACCGAAGCGUCAGAUCACACCAUUUGCUUUAAUAAAUUUGCGCCUGUCUGUAUUUGGUUAUUACAAUAAAAAUAGUAGGAUACAAAUAAUGGAUAUAAAAAAUGCGGAUUUUACGACAUGUUGCCAUAGCAAACUUCAUGUGGCUUUAUAGUGUACAGCUUUUAUCAGACCAUAUUCAGUUAAAAAUUUGGAUAUCGGUCAGAGAUUGUCUCUAACAUGGGCUCGAAGUCAAGUAAAAGUUCAGGUUCAGAGCAACGAAAAAAGGGCGGCGAAUGGGAUUACAAAAUAUACUUCGAUACGGAAGCUUCUGACGCAACUAGUCUUAAAUACGACAACAUCAGAGAUUAUGAACUUAUUACCAAACUUACAGACCUUGUCGGUGUUAAUGAGGAUAUCAUACGUGUGACUGCAUAUGAAUUACCAUUGUUCAAAUGGCAACAAACCAAAUUGCAAAUAACUAAACUGCUGCUUUUUCACAUGUUCAUCGUGUUUGAAACAAAAAAAUGGUGGUGGUCAAUAGAAAAAGAUGGAAAUGGUAUCACUAUUCAGCGAAGUAAAAAACCAAAAAGUGUUAAAUUUAAUAUCAGACAGGAGCCCCGUCUAAAAGGCAUAACUAUGAUGCUCGACGACGAAGGACGUAUGAACGUGAAAAACCUUAUAUGUUGGUUGUAUCUAGAGAAAGAGUUGGAAAAGAAAUAUCAUUAUAUCAAAAGCAACUGCAAAGACUUCGGUAAAGCUGUAUUCAAUCAUGUUGCUAAAAAUAAAUCGAUUGUCCCUAAUUUGAAAUUUUUUCAAUUUUUGCAAAGAUUUAUCCUAUUUGUAAUGGCUUUGUAUAUUUCAU